Non-coding RNA from Euryarchaeota archaeon TMED141, 115 nucleotides. The record is from Rfam. NCBI's taxonomy places the organism in Archaea, Methanobacteriati, Methanobacteriota.
CCUGGUGACAAUAGCAACAGAUAAACACUCGAUCCCAUCCCGAACUCGUAAGUGAAAGCUGUUAGCGCCGAUGGUACUUUGUCUUAAGACAUGGAAGAGUAGGUCGUUGCCAGGA